CCGGGCGCCCCCCCGGCCGCGCCAUCCCGCGCCUCCCCGCUCGGCGCCCGCGCGUCCCCGCCGCGCUCCGGCGUCUCUUCGGCGCGCCCGGCUCCCGGCUGUCCCCGCCCGGCGUGCGGGCCGGUGUAUGGGCCUCUCACCAUGUCGCUGAAGCCCCAGCAGCAGCAGCAGCAGCAGCAGCAGCAGCAGCCGCCCGCGGCUGCCAAUGCCCGUAAGCCCGGUGGCAGCGGCGGCCUUCUCACGUCGCCCGCCACCGCGCCGUCGCCGUCCUCAAUCUCGUCGUCUUCGGCAGUGGCUUCCUCCUCCUCGGUGGCGGCGGCGAGCGCAGGCGGCGGGCGGCCCGGCCUGGGCAGAGGUCGAAACAGCAAAGGACUGCCUCAAUCUACGAUUUCUUUUGAUGGAAUCUAUGCAAAUAUGAGGAUGGUUCAUAUACUUACAUCAGUUGUUGGAUCCAAAUGUGAAGUACAAGUGAAAAACGGAGGUAUAUAUGAAGGAGUUUUUAAAACCUACAGUCCUAAGUGUGAUUUGGUACUUGAUGCUGCACAUGAGAAAAGUAUGGAAUCCAGUUCGGGGCCAAAACGUGAAGAAAUAAUGGAGAGUAUUUUGUUCAAGUGUUCAGACUUUGUUGUGGUACAGUUUAAAGACAUGGACUCCAGUUAUGCAAGAAGAGACGCUUUUACCGACUCUGCUAUCAGUGCUAAAGUGAAUGGUGAACACAAAGAGAAGGACCUGGAGCCCUGGGAUGCAGGUGAACUCACUACCAGUGAGGAACUGGAGGCUUUGGAAAACGACGUAUCUAAUGGAUGGGAUCCCAAUGAUAUGUUUCGAUAUAAUGAAGAAAAUUAUGGUGUAGUGUCUACAUAUGAUAGCAGUUUAUCUUCAUAUACGGUACCCUUAGAAAGGGAUAACUCAGAAGAAUUUUUAAAACGAGAAGCAAGGGCAAACCAGUUAGCAGAAGAAAUUGAAUCAAGUGCCCAGUACAAAGCCCGAGUGGCCCUGGAAAAUGAUGAUAGGAGUGAAGAAGAAAAAUACACAGCAGUUCAGAGAAAUUCGAGUGAACGUGAGGGCCACGGCAUAAACACUAGGGAAAAUAAAUAUAUUCCUCCUGGACAAAGAAACAGAGAAGUCAUAUCCUGGGGAAGUGGGAGACAGAAUUCACCGCGUAUGGGCCAGCCUGGAUCGGGCUCCAUGCCGUCAAGAUCCACCUCUCACACUUCAGAUUUCAACCCGAAUUCUGGUUCAGACCAAAGAGUAGUUAAUGGAGGUGUUCCCUGGCCAUCGCCUUGCCCAUCUCCUUCCUCUCGCCCACCUUCUCGCUACCAGUCAGGUCCCAACUCUCUUCCACCUCGGGCAGCCACCCCUACACGGCCGCCCUCCAGGCCCCCCUCGCGGCCAUCCAGACCCCCGUCUCACCCCUCUGCUCAUGGUUCUCCAGCUCCUGUCUCUACUAUGCCUAAACGCAUGUCUUCAGAAGGGCCUCCGAGGAUGUCCCCAAAGGCCCAGCGACACCCUCGAAAUCACAGAGUUUCUGCUGGGAGGGGUUCCAUUUCCAGUGGCCUAGAAUUUGUAUCCCAUACUCCACCAAGUGAAGCAGCUGCUCCUCCAGCAGCAAGGACCAGUCCUGCGGGGGGCACAUGGUCAUCAGUGGUCAGCGGGGUUCCAAGAUUAUCCCCUAAAACUCACAGACCCAGGUCUCCCAGACAGAACAGUAUUGGAAAUACUCCUCCUGGGCCAGUUCUUGGUUCUCCCCAAGCUGGUAUUAUUCCAGCUGAAGCUGUUGCUAUGCCUGUUCCAGCUGCAUCUCCCACGCCUGCCAGUCCUGCAUCCAAUAGAGCUGUUACCCCAUCUAUUGAGGCUAAGGAUUCCAGGCUUCAAGAUCAGAGGCAGAAUUCUCCUGCAGGGAAUAAAGAAAAUAUGAAGCCCAGUGAAACAUCACCUAGCUUCUCAAAGACUGAAAAUAAAGGUAUAUCCCCAAUUGUUUCUGAACAUAGAAAACAGAUUGAUGACUUAAAGAAGUUUAAGAAUGAUUUUAGGUUACAGCCAAGUUCUACUUCUGAAUCUAUGGAUCAACUGCUAAACAAAAAUAGAGAGGGAGAAAAAUCAAGAGAUUUGGUCAAAGACAAAAUUGAACCAAAUGCUAAGGAUUCUUUCGUUGAAAAUAGCAGCAGCAAUUGCACCAGUGGCAGCAGCAAACCGAGCAGUCCCAGCAUUUCCCCUUCAGUCCUCAGUAAUGCGGAACACAAGAGGGGACCUGAGGUCACAUCCCAAGGGGUUCAGACUUCCAGUCCGGGAUGCAAACAAGAUAAAGAUGAUAAAGAGGAGAAGAAAGAUGCAGCUGAGCAAGUGAGAAAAUCAACACUGAAUCCUAAUGCAAAGGAGUUUAACCCUCGUUCCUUUUCUCAGCCAAAGCCUUCUACCACCCCAACUUCACCUCGUCCUCAAGCACAACCUAGCCCAUCUAUGGUGGGUCAUCAGCAGCCAGCUCCAGUUUAUACUCAGCCUGUCUGUUUUGCACCAAAUAUGAUGUAUCCAGUCCCAGUGAGCCCAGGCGUGCAACCAUUAUACCCUAUACCUAUGACGCCCAUGCCAGUGAAUCAAGCCAAGACAUAUAGAGCAGGUAAAGUACCAAAUAUGCCCCAACAGCGGCAAGACCAGCAUCAUCAGAGCACCAUGAUGCACCCAGCCUCAGCAGCAGGCCCACCGAUUGUGGCCACCCCACCAGCUUAUUCCACACAAUAUGUUGCCUAUAGUCCUCAGCAGUUUCCAAAUCAGCCUCUUGUUCAGCAUGUGCCACAUUAUCAGUCUCAGCAUCCUCAUGUCUAUAGUCCUGUAAUACAGGGUAAUGCUAGAAUGAUGGCACCACCAGCACAUGCCCAGCCUGGUUUAGUGUCUUCUUCAGCAACUCAGUACGGGGCUCAUGAGCAGACGCAUGCGAUGUAUGCAUGCCCCAAAUUACCAUACAACAAGGAGACAAGCCCUUCUUUCUACUUUGCCAUUUCCACUGGCUCCCUUGCUCAGCAGUAUGCGCACCCUAAUGCUACCCUGCACCCACAUACUCCACAUCCUCAGCCUUCAGCUACUCCCACCGGACAGCAGCAAAGCCAACAUGGUGGAAGUCAUCCUGCACCCAGUCCGGUUCAGCACCAUCAGCACCAGGCCGCCCAGGCGCUCCAUCUGGCCAGUCCACAGCAGCAGUCAGCCAUUUACCACGCGGGGCUCGCACCAACCCCACCUUCCAUGACCCCUGCCUCCAAUACGCAGUCGCCACAGAAUAGUUUCCCAACAGCACAACAGACCGUCUUUACGAUUCAUCCUUCUCAUGUUCAGCCGGCAUACACCAAUCCUCCCCACAUGGCCCAUGUACCUCAGUUCUGGUUCAAGGUAUCUCUAGAAAAAGACAAGACUGAGACAUUCUCUUUGGUGGAUAAAGGUCCGCUCCAGAAGGAGGAAGGCUGGCCAGAGCUGGGCAGCACUGAGAUCCCACAUCCUCAGCCUGACGCUGGUUCUAAAUGAUCAAAGGCAGAAGAUUUAUACCAGAUAAAGCCAUAUGGAUUGCUGGUCUAAAAUUCAAGGCAGGGUCACGAGAUGAUCAAUGGCUGCUCCCAGCACAGGCCAAAAGCAGAUGAGAACGAAGGAAGAAGGCAGAGAUGAUGGGGGAAUUGGUGGGAAAACCCAACUGGGCCCCUGCCUCCAGUACCUCUUCUCUUCCCCUGGGGCCAGGAGACAUCCAGGUGACCAGGCUGAGCAAGCCAGCAUGGGGCAGAGGCAGAGAGAUGGAAACGAGGCAGGCCCAAAGGCUAGUUUUUGGUGCUGUGGCUUUGAGGGGAAUCCGACCUCCGCAUCUCAGGCAGAAGUUACCUUUUCAGAAAGCAGGGCAAGAGCCCAUACCCACAGCCGUGCGUGUGACUGCUUCAGACAUGCAGGCACCAGGAGUCUCCGAUAGAAGAAUGGUAUCUUUAGGGCCAGGCCACCUGCCUUCAGCCCCUCCCCACCCACUGGAGCGCUGGUGAACAAGGAGGCAAGGAGCAGCCUGGCAGGAGAGGAUUGGCCAGACUGGGGCUCUUUCCCAAUCCAGGCCCACCCCCAGCAGUCUGGGGGGAGUGACAACGCUAGGAGCCAAGCCCCUGACGCUUACCCGUGGUGGACUGCAUCGUCAGACUGAUGUUAUGGAGGAGGGAGCCAGCUCAGUCGAUCCCAGCCCUAAGCGACCAGUGCCAGCCAGGAUGUUUUUAUCUUUCAAGUUUUCCCCCACACCCCAAUUUCUCAGCCUGGGAUGGGAGCCCAUGACAUGUGGGGAACACAGGAGUCUUGUGCAGUACCUACAUGGCCCCUGGGCGUGCCAGAGUGCCCAGGACUGGCAGCUUUCACAGCCAGUCUCUUAGAGCCUCUAUUUCCCUUGUGUAAAAUGGGUAAGGUACAAGGCUGUUUCCUUCCUUCUCCUUUUGCAGUUGGCUCUGCUUGGCCCCCAAGCCUCCCUACUGGCUCUGGGCCCUCAGGAUCACUGGGAGGAAGUAGGCCAGGCCAAGAGGGGAACAGGCCUAGUCUCCCUUUCGGUUCUGCUCUGGGCCUUGGCCCCAGGGUGAAUGCUGAGAUUAACCAGCAAAGCCACUGGUUUCACUCUGAAUGUGGGGCCUUCAUGCCAGCACUCUCCCAGCAGCUGAGGAACUGCUGACCUGGCAGGCAGUGGUAAAGCGAGGAUUCCCCCUCCUCACCCACAGCCAGCCCUGGCUGCACAGAUGCUGGCUCCCAUCUGCCCACUGGCUACGAUGACACGGGUUCUUCCUGACUCUUCUCCGGCAGCCUGUGGGAGAGCUGCCCCAGCCAGCCCAGUUGUCACGCUUGGAGCCACAGAGCGAGGGGCAGAGCCAGGAUCUGAACCCCAGCGCUGAUGUACCAAAUUGUGCUGUCUGGAGGUGGGGAGAGGCCAGAGGCUCUGCCCAGGCUGGAGGCGAGUGAGAGAGCAUGGGGCAGAAUAAACCCGGCCUGUGGCCACAGCCCUAGCUGGAUGGCCCCAGAGCAGGACUUGGGAGCACUAGUCAUAUGUAGAAGGACCAGUGGCUGCCUUUCUGGUUGAGCAGUGUGAUGAGACAGAACCGGAUGGAGCGCUGAGCCCAAACUCUGGGGCUGUGUUAGCAGCUACCCGAGCGUUAGUUUGAUUGAAAUGGCUGCACCGCUCCAGAUACUGUGGUACAAGCAGUCGCAUGUCAACACAACAUAGCCCCACCCCCACAACUGGGGAGGAAGUUCCAGCUCCCAGGAUCCACAAAGCUGGCAGCUUUCCAAUGGCCACUGUGACUCCAGGGGAAUAACCUAUUUCUUUCUUUGCCUUGGCUGCUAGGAAGCUCAAAGGCAAAGCUACAGAUCAGCUCUGACAUUGUCCCCACCAUAAGGCUGGCAUUUCUACAGCUGAUUGUAUCUAGGCUUUAUACUUGUCUUAUCCUUCUAGGUGUUACUGUUCAGUCCUAUCCAGUCCUGUCCUUGCCUCCUCUUGUAUAACCCUGGACAGGCAGCUGUUGUUUGGUGUUUAUUUUUGAGAGAGCACGAGCCAGGGAGGGGCAGAGAGUGAGGGAGACACUGAGCUGUCAGCACAGAGCCUGACGUGGGGCUCAAACUCACGAACGGUGAGAUCGUGACCUGGGCU
Prionailurus viverrinus (fishing cat) is the source of this 5641-nucleotide RNA transcript. It is a transcript of the gene named ataxin 2, with no coding region annotated. The transcript has 26 exons. The record is from RefSeq and is a predicted model, not a curated record. NCBI's taxonomy places the organism in Eukaryota, Metazoa, Chordata, Mammalia, Carnivora, Felidae.